UCUUAAAAGAAAAAAAGAAAGAAAGAAAGCUGGAAUGAUAGAGUGAAGAUGAGCAUGGCCCAUGCACAAGGAGAACACACAAAUUCAUGAAGCAUUCCAUAAACUA
This is a small nuclear RNA of Callithrix jacchus (white-tufted-ear marmoset), 106 nucleotides long. NCBI's taxonomy places the organism in Eukaryota, Metazoa, Chordata, Mammalia, Primates, Cebidae. The record is from Ensembl.